Molecule: transfer RNA, 77 nt
Filed under: Candidatus Melainabacteria bacterium
Lineage: Bacteria; Bacillati; Candidatus Melainabacteria
Also listed under: 1 other name
Description: tRNA-Asp
Rfam family: tRNA
About the family: Transfer RNA (tRNA) molecules are approximately 80 nucleotides in length. Their secondary structure includes four short double-helical elements and three loops (D, anti-codon, and T loops).
Source: RNAcentral
GGGGCGGUAGCUCAGUUGGUUAGAGUACCUGCCUGUCACGCAGGGGGUCGCGAGUUCGAGUCUCGUCCGCCCCGCCA